AUUUAUAUACUGCCUAAGGUAUUUCACAAAUUCAUAGUUGUGAAAAUUUUCAUCAGUUUCCUCCAAAUGCAAGAGAAUCUCUUCUGCACAUUCCACUGACGGAGCCCCAGUGAUUUUUUCCUUCACGCUUUGCAGCAAUUGUCUAAGCAUGGACUGUAACAAAGCUUCAUCUUCAUUUGUGAACUGAGACAUCUCGGGGCGGCGGUGCCCUCCCUUCGCGGCGGCCGCACGUCUCCCCCAGUCGCGGCCCGUAGCAACCGGCG
RNAcentral lists this long non-coding RNA (263 nucleotides) under Gallus gallus (chicken). The record is from RNAcentral. Lineage: Eukaryota; Metazoa; Chordata; Aves; Galliformes; Phasianidae.